CUUGUCUUUUGUCUUACUGUCUGUCUGUCUUUUAUUUCAUUUUAUUUCACUAUUGAAUUUAAUUGAAAUUGAUUCUUUCAUUUUUGUAGUCUUUCAAAACGAGUAAAGUAUAGGCACUAUAAAUGUUAAGACAUUAUCAUCGCCCAAAGUGACAGUCACUUUAAUUUAAAAGUGACUAAAGGUGUAUCAGUACUCAUACUGUUUUAUGUUAGAACAAUCAGCAAUCGAUUUUAUUCAACAAGCUGUUUAUUGAGCAUCAAUUUUGGACGGCGAUUGCAUCCAGAUGGUUUUUUCCAAUCUAAUUCAAUUUUUUCUGUACCUACCCAAAAUGUUUUUACUCCCCCCGUUGAGUCAAGGUACUAUUGACCAUUUACUUCAUAUGAUAACUGAAGAAAGAGAUAAAAAAUGGUAUUGAAUUCAGUUGUUGCGUCUCUUGAAACUUUAUCAAAAUCUCGCUCUACACAAAUUGUUCAAAAUAUGAUACAUCAAUUUCAAAAUUCGUUGAGUAUUGUUGAAUCUAAAAGUUCACUAUCUGCUAUGAAACAACUUUGUGAAAACCUCUAUGAUGAUUUUGAUGUGGAGCUUACAAAUAAUUUGGUUUAAUUUGCCACUAAUGAAAUGUUUAAAUCCUCAGACUCUCAGUUUCCAGCAUCAGAUAUGUUGAUCAUCUUAAGUCGAUGAAGAUCUGAUCAGUGAUUGGUGAGAUGUGUGCGUCUGUUAUUGAAUAUGAACCAUCAGUUAUAGAUGCAACUAAACAAAAUUUGUCACCUAAAUUAGAAAAAAUAUACAAAAUUAUUAAUGAUGUUUGGUUAAUUUCCAAGGUUAUAAAGG
Rhopalosiphum padi (bird cherry-oat aphid) is the source of this 831-nucleotide long non-coding RNA. RefSeq lists it as uncharacterized. NCBI's taxonomy places the organism in Eukaryota, Metazoa, Arthropoda, Insecta, Hemiptera, Aphididae. The transcript has 5 exons. The record is from RefSeq and is a predicted model, not a curated record.